UACGGGGGGGGCAAGCGUUGUUCGGAAUUACUGGGCGUAAAGGGCUCGUAGGCGGCCAACUAAGUCAGACGUGAAAUCCCUCGGCUUAACCGGGGAACUGCAUCUGAUACUGGAUGGCUUGAGUUCGGGAGAGGGAUGCGGAAUUCCAGGUGUAGCGGUGAAAUGCGUAGAUAUCUGGAGGAACACCGGUGGCGAAGGCGGCAUCCUGGACCAACAUUGACGCUGAGGAGCGAAAGCCAGGGGAGCAAACGGG
RNAcentral lists this ribosomal RNA (253 nucleotides) under uncultured bacterium. RNAcentral describes it as "partial 16S ribosomal RNA". It matches the Rfam family "Bacterial small subunit ribosomal RNA", at positions 524 to 776 of the family's 1533-position model. The record is from RNAcentral.